UGGCAGGCGCCUGUAAUUUUCCAGCUACUUGGGAGUCUGAGACAGGAGAAUCGCUUGAACCAGGAAGUGGAGGUUGCAGCAAGCCGAGAUCAUGCCACUGCGCUCCAGCUUCGGCAACAGAGCGAGACUCUGUCUCAAAAAAAAAAGCACCAGUCAGAGGGCCUCCAUUCUGGUAGCUUUAUGACAAGGUGGUGAGUUAGUUCUUGCCAUCCAGAUUCCCGGGACUGCCCUCUUCCUGUCUGUUCCUAAACCUGGUUCUCAUAUCCAGCUUCAGUUAGCUGGUGUCAGCUUCCGUUGCUUGUAGCCAGAGCUUCCUGAUGGAAUGUAGAGGCUGUUAUUGGACAGCGCGGCACCCAGGGUCUCAGCCACUUCAUCCAUCUGCAGACCUGGAUCCGCGGGCAUCGCUGUGGGCAGGUCUCAGAGACAGACAGUUGAAGGGAAAAUCGUGUUGCAGGAUGAUAGCAUCUGUGUACAUUUUCAAAGCACACGAAACACUGUAAACUGUUUACAGAUUCAAACAUAUGUAGUAAAAUUAUUAAAAUGAAAUGGGAAAUAUACACACCGAAUUUGUGUCAGUGGCCACCUCUGGGGAGGGGUACAAAGGAGACUUCACCUGGAUCUGCAAUGUUUUAUUUCCAAAAAAUAGACCCAAGGCAAGUAUGUGAUGCUACUGUGUUGGGUGUAUGGGUGUAUUCUCUGUGCUGCUCUGAAUUUUUGUCCUAAUAAAACGUCAGAUCAAACGAAGGACCUUCCUAGCUCUGAGGUGCAGGGAGUCAUGGGCUGAGAUCCUGGUGGGGCCCCAGGGGGACCUGGUAUGGAGCACAAGGAGACCCUGGCCUGGGACAGUUCAAUUUCAUAGGGAAUGAGGGUCAGGCCGGGAUAAACCAGGAGGCAGAGAGUGUGCGCAUGCGCCAUUCGGGUGGCCAGAGAAAGCCCAGGUAGGCAGGGGAGAGAAAGCCGCUGAUGACUGGAAGGUGGGCAUGGAGGGCAGGGUGGGAAGUGCUAGGACAAGACUUGUGAAAGGCGUGAUCCUGGCCUUGAAGGACAGCUAGGGGCUAGACACGUAGAUCAGUUUGCAGAAGGAUACACAUAACCAACUGGAAGCGUACACAUUAUUCUCUUGUCGUCGUUAUAACAAAGCAUAUUUUAAAAAUAAAAACUAAGAAAAACUUUAAAAAAUGAAAAAUACUGGAAAGGAUCAAGAAGAAAAUGACCAUCCAUAAUUUCAUCAUGCAGCUGUAAAUAACCACUUUGGACAUUUUAAUGCAGCUCCUCCUGUCUUGGCUACAAAAGACAGAUACUCUCUGAGAGUCAGGCAUCAGCGUAAAUACAGAGCAUUUUACACAAAGUCAAUGGGUUACCAUUUGUGCAGUGGUUUUCCUGUUGAAAACAGGUUUGUGAUCAUGAAAGGUACAAAAGACAGAAUAGCAAAUGCUUCAUAAUGUUUACUGUGGCAGGCAUGGUCCUAAAUGCUUUAUAUAUGCUAGCCCAUUCAAUCUUCACAACCCCAUAAAGUAUUUUGCUUUUGUGCUAUGAUGAAUUCCCAUUUUUCAGAUGAGGAAACUGAGGCCCAGGGAGCCUGUCCAAGGUUACAGAGCUGAUGUGUAUCUCUGGAUUUCAAAACUGAUGGCAGAAUAGAAACAACUCCGGUCUGCAGCUCCCAGCGUGAUC
RNAcentral lists this long non-coding RNA (1671 nucleotides) under Homo sapiens (human). RNAcentral describes it as "HSALNT0169573". Lineage: Eukaryota; Metazoa; Chordata; Mammalia; Primates; Hominidae. The record is from RNAcentral.